UGUAUCGCGAUAGCGCUAGAGCGUGCUAGCGCGCAACCUUUGAUACCAUUUUUUAAGGUUUAUUUCACAAAUUGUUGGUCCCACGAGAAAGCGAAGCUACUUUCCGAUAUUCUCGUAAAAUUUUGAAUCCAAACGACCUUUUUUAUAUACUACACUGAAGUUAUUUUAAAAAUACAAAAUUG
This is a long non-coding RNA of Daphnia magna, 182 nucleotides long. RefSeq lists it as uncharacterized. NCBI's taxonomy places the organism in Eukaryota, Metazoa, Arthropoda, Branchiopoda, Diplostraca, Daphniidae. The record is from RefSeq and is a predicted model, not a curated record. The transcript is spliced from 2 exons.